Molecule: long non-coding RNA, 1925 nt
Organism: Dreissena polymorpha
Lineage: Eukaryota; Metazoa; Mollusca; Bivalvia; Myida; Dreissenidae
Exons: 2
Source: RefSeq, a predicted model, not a curated record
UCGUAGAGCAGGUUACGCGUAUGUUUGGCUGAUAAUUUAGUAUUCAGUCAAAAAGGGUCUAUUGUAGUUUUGUUUAGAAAUAUUUGGUAAAGAUAUUGGUGUUUUCUCAAACUUGCUUAUUUAUAUUUGAUUUAAGAAAACAUAGUGUGUUCUUUUCAGACUUCAAAGACCUGCGGACAGACACCAUGUGGAGGUAUAACAACUAGUGUUUAUGAACAGUCGUCUGUUUGAUCAUAAGCUGUGUUGCGCUGUAAUACAUAAGACCUUAUUGAAGGUUAGGACAUAAAACGUAUGUUUUAAAUCCUAAUCUAUACAAAGUAGUCGCUUACAUGUGUAUGGUGGAAAACGAGAGCUAUCGAGUUACACCAUAAGAGAGUGGUCUCAUUCAGAAAGGAGAUACAUAUGCUGAACACAUAUACUGCAAUAAUUGAGAAACAAUUUGUUGAAACGGGAAACGAAUAUAAAAAAAUCAUCGGCUACGUGUAUUUUAAAUACAUAAGAUACAGAACAUCAAAUCAUUACCUAUUUAUUUGCUGAUUCAGCCUUCGUAGAUGAGCUGUUUAUAUUUGAAAUAUGUACAAUUGUAAAUACCAACCUACUGUUGCCGUAAAUACCUAUGCCAAGUUCUGCUGUGAUGAGAACAUGGCGAGAAUAGAGUCCGGUCAUUGCUGCUGCACUUAUGACGGGACAAGCUCCUCUGCGGAAUGUCAAAGCAGCUCAGGCGUCUUCCCAUGGUGGGGCGUAUUCCUUAUUGUACUUUUCAUCAUUGCUGUAUUAGUUGCCGUCGGAAUUGUGGUUUACAGGAAGAAACUUUACUCUAGAAUUUUGUAGAAUGACACAAAUGGUAUUGGCGUUUUGAAACAUAUCCCAAAACUUGCAGACAUAUUUAUUUGUGUUCUUUGUCGUUAGUUCGAAUGGUCAACGUUGUGAAUGAAGUACAUAACACAUAAGGUCAGUUAUGCAUGUUAUUUCUACGGUCAUAUACUACACAGGUGAAGUAUAGAUUGUUGUUUAUACAAGAUCUACUUGUUUCUACAUAAUAUACUCUUGCUUACGUUUUAACUGACCUUUCAUUGUUGACUUGCUUAGGAUGUUGUUUUUUUCAAACACAGUUGGGUGCUCAAUGUGUUGAUUGUUUAUGUAAUGUUUUCCAUGUUUCAGUUUUCGCCAUAUUUUCCCUUCAUUUAAUCAUGUUUAUUGUUACUAGCUCUCUAUUUAUUUCAUUGAGUGGUCAGUGUUUCAUACCAAAUAUAUCCUAUUGGGACCGUUUGAGAAAGUGUAUGGUGCAAUUAUAACAAUCGCAUAAGCACAACUAUACUUUACUUUUUUUGUGAGAACAUACCAGAAAUUAACCGAUACUUUUUGACUGCAACAUGCGGCAUUAACCGUGUACCAUGUCUUUUGAUUGUUAUUACAUAGAGGAUAUUUGUUGGCUUCGGUGGAUAAUCAAUUUUAAUUCACGAGUGAUCAUAUAAAAUAAUAUUUUCACGAGUGGCGCAGCCACGAGUUAAAAUAUAUAUUUCUAUGACCACGAGUGAAUUAAAAUCGAUAUUCCACCGAAUCCAACAAAUUUUCUUUUUAUUUUAUACUUUUUUUAUAUACAUUUGUAAAGAGUUUAACUAAAGAAUUUCGCUGGGAUAAUGACGUCAUUUUGUAAAAAAGACGUCAUUUCACUGUAAACAUUGAAAAUUAUCGAUAAUUUUCACUUGAAAAUUUUCAUUGUUUGAAACAGUGAAAAUAUCAGUUUUAAUUCACUGAUAUUUCUCUAUAAACCACCGAAAAGCAUAAAAUAAAAACUAGUAACGCCUUAAGUAAAUUUCAUAUGUGUACAAAUGCUAUGCAACUUGCCUUUAAUGAUAAUCUUCGUUUUGAUGUGGUUUUAUUCACUAAUAGUUUGUCAAUAAUAAAAGGACCUGUUCACAAGA